This 791-nucleotide ribosomal RNA is filed under the name uncultured bacterium. RNAcentral's name for it is "bacterial SSU rRNA". It matches the Rfam family "Bacterial small subunit ribosomal RNA", at positions 8 to 796 of the family's 1533-position model. The record is from RNAcentral.
AGAGUUUGAUCCUGGCUCAGAUUGAACGCUGGCGGCAUGCUUUACACAUGCAAGUCGAACGGCAGCGCGGGGCAACCUGGCGGCGAGUGGCGAACGGGUGAGUAAUAUAUCGGAACGUACCCAAGAGUGGGGGAUAACGUAGCGAAAGUUACGCUAAUACCGCAUACGAUCUAAGGAUGAAAGCAGGGGAUCUUCGGACCUUGUGCUCCUGGAGCGGCCGAUAUCUGAUUAGCUAGUUGGUGAGGUAAAGGCUCACCAAGGCCACGAUCAGUAGCUGGUCUGAGAGGACGACCAGCCACACUGGAACUGAGACACGGUCCAGACUCCUACGGGAGGCAGCAGUGGGGAAUUUUGGACAAUGGGCGAAAGCCUGAUCCAGCAAUGCCGCGUGAGUGAAGAAGGCCUUCGGGUUGUAAAGCUCUUUUGUCAGGGAAGAAACGGUGAAGGCUAAUAUCCUUCGCUAAUGACGGUACCUGAAGAAUAAGCACCGGCUAACUACGUGCCAGCAGCCGCGGUAAUACGUAGGGUGCAAGCGUUAAUCGGAAUUACUGGGCGUAAAGCGUGCGCAGGCGGUUUUGUAAGUCUGACGUGAAAUCCCCGGGCUCAACCUGGGAAGUGCAUUGGAUACUGGCAAACUUGAGUACGGGAGAGGAUAGUGGAAUUUCGAGUGUAGGGGUGAAAUCCGUAGAUAUUCGAAGGAACACCGGUGGCGAAGGCGGCUAUCUGGACCGAUACUGACGCUGAGACGCGAAAGCGUGGGGAGCAAACAGGAUUAGAUACCCUGGUAGUCC